AGAGUUUGAUCCUGGCUCAGAUUGAACGCUGGCGGCAUGCCUUACACAUGCAAGUUGAACGGCAGCGCGGGAGCAAUCCUGGCGGCGAGUGGCGAACGGGUGAGUAAUACAUCAGAACGUGCCCAAUCGUGGGGGAUAACGCAGCGAAAGCUGUGCUAAUACCGCAUACGAUCUACGGAUGAAAGCAGGGGAUCGCAAGACCUUGCGCGAAUGGAGCGGCCGAUGGCAGAUUAGGUAGUUGGUGAGGUAAAGGCUCACCAAGCCUUCGAUCUGUAGCUGGUCUGAGAGGACGACCAGCCACACUGGGACUGAGACACGGCCCAGACUCCUACGGGAGGCAGCAGUGGGGAAUUUUGGACAAUGGGCGAAAGCCUGAUCCAGCCAUGCCGCGUGCAGGAUGAAGGCCUUCGGGUUGUAAACUGCUUUUGUACGGAACGAAACGGCCUUUUCUAAUAAAGAGGGCUAAUGACGGUACCGUAAGAAUAAGCACCGGCUAACUACGUGCCAGCAGCCGCGGUAAUACGUAGGGUGCAAGCGUUAAUCGGAAUUACUGGGCGUAAAGCGUGCGCAGGCGGUUAUGUAAGACAGUUGUGAAAUCCCCGGGCUCAACCUGGGAACUGCAUCUGUGACUGCAUAGCUAGAGUACGGUAGAGGGGGAUGGAAUUCCGCGUGUAGCAGUGAAAUGCGUAGAUAUGCGGAGGAACACCGAUGGCGAAGGCAAUCCCCUGGACCUGUACUGACGCUCAUGCACGAAAGCGUGGGGAGCAAACAGGAUUAGAUACCCUGGUAGUCCACGCCCUAAACGAUGUCAACUGGUUGUUGGGUCUUCACUGACUCAGUAACGAAGCUAACGCGUGAAGUUGACCGCCUGGGGAGUACGGCCGCAAGGUUGAAACUCAGAGGAAUUGACGGGGACCCGCACAAGCGGUGGAUGAUGUGGUUUAAUUCGAUGCAACGCGAAAAACCUUACCCACCUUUGACAUGUACGGAAUUCGCCAGAGAUGGCUUAGUGCUCGAAAGAGAACCGUAACACAGGUGCUGCAUGGCUGUCGUCAGCUCGUGUCGUGAGAUGUUGGGUUAAGUCCCGCAACGAGCGCAACCCUUGUCAUUAGUUGCUACACUCAGUUGGGCACUCUAAUGAGACUGCCGGUGACAACCGGAGGAAGGUGGGGAUGACGUCAAGUCCUCAUGGCCCUUAUAGGUGGGGCUACACACGUCAUACAAUGGCUGGUACAAAGGGUUGCCAACCCGCGAGGGGGAGCUAAUCCCAUAAAACCAGUCGUAGUCCGGAUCGCAGUCUGCAACUCGACUGCGUGAAGUCGGAAUCGCUAGUAAUCGUGGAUCAGAAUGUCACGGUGAAUACGUUCCCGGGUCUUGUACACACCGCCCGUCACACCAUGGGAGCGGGUUCUGCCAGAAGUAGUUAGCUUAACCGCAAGGAGGGCGAUUACCACGGCAGGGUUCGUGACUGGGGUGAAGUCGAAACAAGGUAGCCGUAUCGGAAGGUGCGGCUG
RNAcentral lists this ribosomal RNA (1514 nucleotides) under metagenome. RNAcentral's name for it is "bacterial SSU rRNA". It matches the Rfam family "Bacterial small subunit ribosomal RNA". The record is from RNAcentral.